RNAcentral lists this ribosomal RNA (720 nucleotides) under Salmonella enterica subsp. enterica serovar Javiana. RNAcentral's name for it is "bacterial SSU rRNA". It matches the Rfam family "Bacterial small subunit ribosomal RNA", at positions 802 to 1522 of the family's 1533-position model. The record is from RNAcentral. Lineage: Bacteria; Pseudomonadati; Pseudomonadota; Gammaproteobacteria; Enterobacterales; Enterobacteriaceae.
GUAAACGAUGUCUACUUGGAGGUUGUGCCCUUGAGGCGUGGCUUCCGGAGCUAACGCGUUAAGUAGACCGCCUGGGGAGUACGGCCGCAAGGUUAAAACUCAAAUGAAUUGACGGGGGCCCGCACAAGCGGUGGAGCAUGUGGUUUAAUUCGAUGCAACGCGAAGAACCUUACCUGGUCUUGACAUCCACAGAACUUUCCAGAGAUGGAUUGGUGCCUUCGGGAACUGUGAGACAGGUGCUGCAUGGCUGUCGUCAGCUCGUGUUGUGAAAUGUUGGGUUAAGUCCCGCAACGAGCGCAACCCUUAUCCUUUGUUGCCAGCGGUCCGGCCGGGAACUCAAAGGAGACUGCCAGUGAUAAACUGGAGGAAGGUGGGGAUGACGUCAAGUCAUCAUGGCCCUUACGACCAGGGCUACACACGUGCUACAAUGGCGCAUACAAAGAGAAGCGACCUCGCGAGAGCAAGCGGACCUCAUAAAGUGCGUCGUAGUCCGGAUUGGAGUCUGCAACUCGACUCCAUGAAGUCGGAAUCGCUAGUAAUCGUGGAUCAGAAUGCCACGGUGAAUACGUUCCCGGGCCUUGUACACACCGCCCGUCACACCAUGGGAGUGGGUUGCAAAAGAAGUAGGUAGCUUAACCUUCGGGAGGGCGCUUACCACUUUGUGAUUCAUGACUGGGGUGAAGUCGUAACAAGGUAACCGUAGGGGAACCUGCGGUUGGA